RNAcentral lists this ribosomal RNA (468 nucleotides) under uncultured bacterium. RNAcentral describes it as "partial 16S ribosomal RNA". It matches the Rfam family "Bacterial small subunit ribosomal RNA", at positions 34 to 507 of the family's 1533-position model. The record is from RNAcentral.
UCCUCCCUCUGGCGGCGUGCUUAACACAUGCAAGUCGAACGGACAGGCCCUGCUUUUGUGCGGUGCUCGAGUGGCGAACGGGUGAGUAACACGUGAGUAACAUGCCCUUGACUUUGGGAUAUCUUCAGGAAACUGGGGCUAAUACCGGAUAGGAGCUCUUGCAGCAUGGUGGGGAAUGGAAAGAUUCGGCUGUUGGGGAUGGAAUAGCGGCUUAUCAGCUUGUUGGUGGAGUAGUGGAUUACAAAGGCUUUGAAGGGUAGCCGGCCUGAGAGGGUGACCGGGCACAUGGGUACUGAGAUACGGACCAGACUGCUACGGGAGGCAGCAGGGGGGAAUAUGGCACAACGGGCGGAAGCGUGAUGCAGCAACGCCGCGUGCGGGAUGACGGCUUUUGGGUUGUAAACCACUUUGGAAUGAGACGAAGAGGGAGUGACGGUAAUGAGUAAAGAAGCACCGGCUAACUACGUG